Molecule: microRNA precursor, 110 nt
Organism: Sorghum bicolor (sorghum)
Lineage: Eukaryota; Viridiplantae; Streptophyta; Magnoliopsida; Poales; Poaceae
Rfam family: MIR5565 microRNA precursor family
Source: Rfam
GUUGUCGGAUUCACUUUAAUCCAUGUGUGUUGGUGUGGGUUGAGGUGGAAUUUAAUUCGAAUUUCACUUCAAUCCACCUCUAACACAUGUGGAUUGACGUGAAUCCGACU